This 1332-nucleotide ribosomal RNA is filed under the name Heteroxenotrichula squamosa. RNAcentral describes it as "SSU rRNA". It matches the Rfam family "Eukaryotic small subunit ribosomal RNA", at positions 66 to 1410 of the family's 1831-position model. Lineage: Eukaryota; Metazoa; Gastrotricha; Chaetonotida; Xenotrichulidae. The record is from RNAcentral.
CAGACUCUCUAACAGUGAAACCGUGAAUGGCUCACUAACUAAGUUAUGGUUCGUUAGAUCGAAUGCCUUACGCGGAUAACUUUUGGGAAUUCUAGAGCUAAUACGUGCAUACAAGCUCCGACUCGCGAAGGAGCGUAUUUAUUAGACCAAAGCCAACCGGGCGCAAGCCCGUAACGCGAUGACUCCGAGUAACUCUUGCUGAUCGCAGCGGCCUCGAGCCGGCGACGUAUCUUUCAAAUGUCUGCCCUAUCAACUUUCGAUGGUAGUUGACAUGACUACCACGGUCGUAACGGGUAACGGGGAAUCAGGGUUCGAUUCCGGAGAGGGAGCCUGAGAAACGGCUGCUACACCUACGGGGGGCAGCAGGCGCGCAAAUUACCCACUCCCGGCACGGGGAGGUAGUGACGAAAAAUAACGGCUCCGGACUCACUGAGUUCGGCGACCGCAAUGAGAACAGUGUAAAUACUUUAUCGAGUAUCAAAUAGAGGGCAAGUCUGGUGCCAGCAGCCGCGGUAAUUCCAGCUCUAUUAGCGUAUAUUAAAGUUGUUGCGUUUAAAAAGCUCGUAGUUGGAUUUCAGACUGGCUUUCGACGACGUUCAGCUUAGCUGUGUCGUCGAGCCAAUUUAACGGCCGCGCUCGGCCGCGAUGCCUUUUAUCGGGUGUCACGGCCGGCCGGCGAAUUUACUUUGAAGAAAAUAGAGUGCUCAAAGCAGGCGUUCGCCCGAAUGGUGUUGCAUGGAAUAAUGGAACAGGACGUCGAUCCGUUUUGUUGGUUCUUCUCACGGUUACGACGUAAUGAUUAAGAGGAACGGACGGGGGCAUUCGUAUUGCGCCGUUAGAGGUGAAAUUCUUGGAUCGGCGCAGGACGGACUACUGCGAAGGCAUUUGUCAAGAAUGUUUUCAUUAGUCAAGAACGAAAGUCAGAGGAUCGAAGGCGAUCAGAUACCGCCCUAGUUUUGACCGUAAACGAUGCCAACUGGCGAUCUGCCGUGCCGUCUUGUCUGACGCGGCGGGCAGCCACCGGGAAACCUUAAGUUUUUAGGUUCCGGGGAUAGUAUGGUUGCAAAACUGAAACUUAAAGGAAUUGACGGAAGGGCACCACCAGGAGUGGAGCCUGCGGCUUAAUUUGACUCAACACGGGAAAGCUUACCCGGGCCGGACACCGUAAGGAUUGACAGACCGAUAGCUCUUUCUCGAUUCGUGUGUAUGGUGGUGCAUUGCCGUUCUUAGUCGGUGGAGCGAUUUGUACUGGUUAAUUCCGAUAAACGGACCGAGACUCUAGCCUGCUAAAUAGAGCGUCGCAUGCGCCUUUGCGCGGGUGCGUCAGCUUCU